Molecule: ribosomal RNA, 472 nt
Filed under: uncultured bacterium
Lineage: Bacteria
Description: partial 16S ribosomal RNA
Rfam family: Bacterial small subunit ribosomal RNA
Source: RNAcentral
UGGGGAAUAUUGCACAAUGGGCGCAAGCCUGAUGCAGCCAUGCCGCGUGUGUGAAGAAGGCCUCGGGUUGUAAAGCACUUUCAGCGAGGAGGAAGGUGGUGGACUUAAUACGUUCAUCAAUUGACGUUACUCGCAGAAGAAGCACCGGCUAACUCCGUGCCAGCAGCCGCGGUAAUACGGAGGGUGCAAGCGUUAAUCGGAAUUACUGGGCGUAAAGCGCACGCAGGCGGUUUGUUAAGUCAGAUGUGAAAUCCCCGGGGCUCAACCUGGGAACUGCAUUUGAAACUGGCAAGCUAGAGUCUCGUAGAGGGGGGUAGAAUUCCAGGUGUAGCGGUGAAAUGCGUAGAGAUCUGGAGGAAUACCGGUGGCGAAGGCGGCCCCCUGGACGAAGACUGACGCUCAGGUGCGAAAGGCGUGGGGCAGCAAACAGGAUUAGAUACCCCUGGUAGUCCACGCUGUAAAACGAUGUCGA